UUCAUAGUAUGAUGCCGUAUUUCUCAGAGAAUACAGGUAGUUUUAAUAAAAAUUUUGCACUUAAAGACUUCCAACAAUCUAAUGUAGCCAACGAAUUUGUUGGCUGUAAAAUGAUGAUUGGUUUGAAUCUGUUCAAACUAAUUUAUUCAGUCCAUUGUAUUUGAGCUUGGCAAUGAAAAGAAAUUUUCACGAAGAAUGGAAAACGUUACAGAGAGAAUGGGAGAAAUAUGUGCAUGCAGAGAUUCAACAAUAGAAGGAAAAUUCUUACCCUUGUUAGAUUUUCAGCAUACUAUACUAUUUGUCAGAAUACAAAGCAUGAAGAAGUUCUAGUAUUUUCUACAAACAAUUACGACUUUUCAAAUAUUGAUGAAUUUGACUUUUAUAUUCAUUUUCAUGUUCUUGUCACUUUCAAAUUCGUUUCUACGUCUUAAAGUUGACAACCAAUAAGUUUCUUCUGAUCGUGACAACAAAAAAGAGAAAUGAGAUGUUUGUAUAAAGAUCUGAGGAAUUUUUAAAACGUGCGAAGCAUUCAAAAAUCAUAAAGACCCUUCAAAGGAUUACGAAGGAGUACUGUAGCAAGUCAGGCAUAAAGUUGGCCGUUACAUAGGACUACUACGGAAGCUUAUUUUCAUAAAUAAACCAUUACAACAACCGUGGGAAGAAAAAUAUUGAAAGUGUAUUUGAGUUGAAAUAGACCAUAAUUGAACUAAGGACUGAUGUGAUUGAAAAAGAAUAAUAAAAUGCUGAGAGAUGAUAUUAGAUUAAAAAACGAGAGCAUAAU
This is a long non-coding RNA of Chelonus insularis, 781 nucleotides long. RefSeq lists it as uncharacterized. The transcript has 4 exons. The record is from RefSeq and is a predicted model, not a curated record. NCBI's taxonomy places the organism in Eukaryota, Metazoa, Arthropoda, Insecta, Hymenoptera, Braconidae.